GUUUGAUCCUGGCUCAGAGCGAACGCUGNCGGCAGGCCUAACACAUGCAAGUCGAGCGCCCAGCAAUGGGAGCGGCAGNCGGGUGAGUAACGCGUGGGGAUCUCCCCGGUGGUACGGAAUAACCCAGGGAAACUUGGAUUAAUNCCGUAUGUGCCCUUCGGGGAAAGAUUUAUCGCCAUUGGAUGNACCCGCGUCGGNUUAGCUAGUUGCNGAGGNAAAGGCUCACCAAGGCGACGAUCCGUNGCUGGUCUGAGAGGAUGAUCANCCACACUGGGACUGAGACNCGGCCCAGACUCCUACGGGNGGCNGC
RNAcentral lists this ribosomal RNA (310 nucleotides) under Xanthobacter sp. SM-2017. RNAcentral's name for it is "partial 16S ribosomal RNA". It matches the Rfam family "Bacterial small subunit ribosomal RNA", at positions 11 to 352 of the family's 1533-position model. The record is from RNAcentral. Lineage: Bacteria; Pseudomonadati; Pseudomonadota; Alphaproteobacteria; Hyphomicrobiales; Xanthobacteraceae.